UGGAAACAGAUGCUAAUACCGCAUAACAACUUGGACCGCAUGGUCCGAGUUUGAAAGAUGGCUUCGGCUAUCACUUUUGGAUGGUCCCGCGGCGUAUUAGCUAGAUGGUGAGGCAACGGCUCACCAUGGCAAUGAUACGUAGCCGACCUGAGAGGGUAAUCGGCCACAUUGGGACUGAGACACGGCCCAAACUCCUACGGGAGGCAGCAGUAGGGAAUCUUCCACAA
Molecule: ribosomal RNA, 227 nt
Filed under: Lactiplantibacillus plantarum
Lineage: Bacteria; Bacillati; Bacillota; Bacilli; Lactobacillales; Lactobacillaceae
Description: partial 16S ribosomal RNA
Rfam family: Bacterial small subunit ribosomal RNA
Source: RNAcentral